Molecule: transfer RNA, 70 nt
Filed under: Bos taurus (domestic cattle)
Lineage: Eukaryota; Metazoa; Chordata; Mammalia; Artiodactyla; Bovidae
Also listed under: 5 other names
Rfam family: tRNA
About the family: Transfer RNA (tRNA) molecules are approximately 80 nucleotides in length.
Source: Rfam by way of RNAcentral
UCCCGUAGCUCAGACGGGAAAGAAUCUGCCUGCAACGCAGGAGACCCAGGUUCGAUCCCUGGGUUGGGAA